CCCUUAGAUGUUCUGGGCCGCACGCGCGCUACACUGAAUGCUACCACACGACGAUACACCCUUGUCCGAUACGGUCAGGGAAAUCGUUUAAAAUGCAUUCUACGUGAUGGGAAUGGAGUAUUGUAAUUUGUACUCCUGAACGAGGAAUUCCUAGUAAACGCGAGUCAUCAGCUCGCAUUGAUUACGUCCCUGCCCUUUGUACACACCGCCCGUCGCACCUACCGAUUGAAUGGUUCGGUGAAGAUCUCGGACUUCGAUAUUUAUUCUUUAUUGAGUUUAUAUUGUGGGAAGUUAUCUAAACCUCAUCAUUUAGAGGAAGGUGAAGUCGUAACA
This 333-nucleotide ribosomal RNA is filed under the name uncultured eukaryote. RNAcentral describes it as "partial 18S ribosomal RNA". It matches the Rfam family "Eukaryotic small subunit ribosomal RNA", at positions 1470 to 1796 of the family's 1831-position model. The record is from RNAcentral.